AUUGAACGCUGGCGGCAGGCCUAACACAUGCAAGUCGAGCGGAUGAAGGGAGCUUGCUCCUGGAUUCAGCGGCGGACGGGUGAGUAAUGCCUAGGAAUCUGCCUGGUAGUGGGGGAUAACGUCCGGAAACGGGCGCUAAUACCGCAUACGUCCUGAGGGAGAAAGUGGGGGAUCUUCGGACCUCACGCUAUCAGAUGAGCCUAGGUCGGAUUAGCUAGUUGGUGGGGUAAAGGCCUACCAAGGCGACGAUCCGUAACUGGUCUGAGAGGAUGAUCAGUCACAAUGGAACUGAGACACGGUCCAGACUCCUACGGGAGGCAGCAGUGGGGAAUAUUGGACAAUGGGCGAAAGCCUGAUCCAGCCAUGCCGCGUGUGCGAAGAAGGUCUUCGGAUUGUAAAGCACUUUAAGUUGGGAGGAAGGGCAGUAAGUUAAUACCUUGCUGUUUUGACGUUACCAACAGAAUAAGCACCGGCUAACUUCGUG
This 484-nucleotide ribosomal RNA is filed under the name uncultured bacterium. RNAcentral's name for it is "partial 16S ribosomal RNA". It matches the Rfam family "Bacterial small subunit ribosomal RNA", at positions 30 to 507 of the family's 1533-position model. The record is from RNAcentral.